GUUCGCGUGGCGUAGUGGUUAUCGCGUCGCCUUUACAUAAUCAUUACGUGAUUAAAAUCGGCGAAGGUCCUGGGUUCGACCCCCAGCGUGAACA
Non-coding RNA from Borealophlyctis nickersoniae, 94 nucleotides. The record is from the annotation of a GenBank genome assembly. NCBI's taxonomy places the organism in Eukaryota, Fungi, Chytridiomycota, Chytridiomycetes, Rhizophlyctidales, Borealophlyctidaceae.